RNAcentral lists this ribosomal RNA (429 nucleotides) under Gemmatimonadota bacterium. Its description in RNAcentral is "Gemmatimonadetes bacterium partial 16S ribosomal RNA". It matches the Rfam family "Bacterial small subunit ribosomal RNA", at positions 355 to 776 of the family's 1533-position model. Lineage: Bacteria; Pseudomonadati; Gemmatimonadota. The record is from RNAcentral.
UAGGGAAUCUUCGGCAAUGGACGAAAGUCUGACCGAGCAACGCCGCGUGAGUGAAGAAGGUUUUCGGAUCGUAAAACUCUGUUGUUAGAGAAGAACAAGGACGUUAGUAACUGAACGUCCCCUGACGGUAUCUAACCAGAAAGCCACGGCUAACUACGUGCCAGCAGCCGCGGUAAUACGUAGGUGGCAAGCGUUGUCCGGAUUUAUUGGGCGUAAAGCGAGCGCAGGCGGUUUCUUAAGUCAGAUGUGAAAGCCCCCGGCUCAACCGGGGAGGGUCAUUGGAAACUGGGAGACUUGAGUGCAGAAGAGGAGAGUGGAAUUCCAUGUGUAGCGGUGAAAUGCGUAGAUAUAUGGAGGAACACCAGUGGCGAAGGCGGCUCUCUGGUCUGUAACUGACGCUGAGGCUCGAAAGCGUGGGGAGCAAACAGG